UUAAGUUCAGCGGGUAUCCCUACCUGAUCCGAGGUCAGUGGUUGAAAUAAGCUUUUGGAGAGCCGAUCCGUCGUUGCCAAGAGCGCGUCUGUGCUGCGCUCACGGCCGGCGAGAUGCGGGCUGCCAAUGACUUUGAGGUGAGUCGCCGCGCGAGAGGCGGGACAAGCACCCAAUACCAAGCUAGGCUUGAGGGGUUAAAU
RNAcentral lists this unclassified non-coding RNA (200 nucleotides) under Ascomycota sp. RNAcentral's name for it is "partial internal transcribed spacer 2". Lineage: Eukaryota; Fungi; Ascomycota. The record is from RNAcentral.